This 1518-nucleotide long non-coding RNA is filed under the name Phascolarctos cinereus (koala). Its description in RNAcentral is "lncRNA (ENSPCIG00000018716.2)". The record is from RNAcentral. Lineage: Eukaryota; Metazoa; Chordata; Mammalia; Diprotodontia; Phascolarctidae.
GCUGGUUCUUUGCGGUGCUGGCGUGGCAAAGGAACUUUAGUAGGCGAGGCAGUCUUCGCUCCACUUGGAUCAACUCCAGAAAUUAGGAACUGCAACAUGAGAAGAUGAUGUACUAUACUGUCAGAACACCCAGCAUACAUGUGGCACUGAAUCAUUCUGUAAAAAGAAAAUGGGCAUUACCUUGUCUUUUGCAAAUAAAGUUUUAUUUCUCUAAGUUUGUUCCAUCAAUUCUGUUUGGUCACCUGGGGGUGGGAUGGGUGGAUUUAUAACCUUCCAUCUUGAUGGAGUUCAGCAAGCCCCAGUGCUGGCAAUUUUGAGGGGCCUUGUGUCAUUUCUUGAUCACCUUCUGUAAAUAUCCUUUUGCCUAUGGAAUACCUAGACUGCAUCAUCAGGGGGGGCUUGCUGCGUUUAGAAGUCUCAUCCCUAGAAUACGCCAGGCCAGUGCUUGCUACAUCGUGGAGCUGGCAGGGCUGGGGCCAGGGGAGGAGUCUUGGGGCGUGGUGACUGGGGGUCCUCUGAGGUCUUCUGGAAGGACGUUGGGCUGGGCACUGGCAGCCUGAGCUUUGGAGAUUAAGGCACCUCUUCCCCCCUGCUGGCCCCAACAUUCCAAUAGUAAUGGCCUCACACAUUUCUUGUUCUAGAUUAAAUUGAACCUCCCAUGCCCCCAAAGCCUGGGCUAUCUUAAAGCAGCCUGUGCACUUGCCAUGGCCAGAGGCUGCUUGUGGCUGCUGUUAGUGUUGGUGCUACCCACUGGGAGCAAAGGGAUACCAUGUCUCGAGUCCAGCAGUCCCUUCUUGCCUCCGGAGGAGGGGAAGAUGCAGCCCCCACUGCCCAAGGUCAGCGCCUGCAUGGUGCAUUGUGCCACGCAGGUCCUGCCCAGAUUGGGAGCUGGCGUCGUCUCUGUGCUCUUUAACGAGGCUCGGGCAGAAGAGGAGCAGAAAUACUGCUGGCUGCAGAGACGUCGGCACUGCCGGAGCGGAGAGCGCCUCGCCAGGGUCUUUGUGCUGCUGGAUCUGAAGGAGCCCUCCGCCACUCCCUAUGAGCUCCUGCCCACCACGCCACCCCUGUCCGCACCAACCAGACGCCUGCGGCCCCGGAGGAAUGACGGAGCCCUGCUCAGCCUGUCGGGCUGUGGGCUCCUCUAUGAUGUCACCAGGCCCUUCCGGAGUGCCAGGAGAGAGGGCCAGUCCACGGAAGCGGAAUUCUGUGUUAAAGCUGUGUGCCCUGCCAGCCAGCCUUCCUGCCAGCCCCUUCAGGUGGCCCUGAGCUGCCCCCCUUUCCUCGCCACGCUCUGGGGCAGCCGGCCCAGCACCAAGGAUUCCUUCUCCAUUCAACCCAAGCCAUUACUCCCUGGACAGGUCUGAAUGGACCCCCUGGGCGUGGACUCUGGUGCACAGCCAAAGAGACUCCGGGCUGCCAGAGCUAGGCUGCAGCUCGUCCCACUCUGGGCUCGGGGCUAGUGAGGCAGCAGUGACUGACCUGAAUAAAUUGGCCACGUGGCUCCUCUUCGUGGGCUCC